This 81-nucleotide transfer RNA is filed under the name Patescibacteria group bacterium. RNAcentral describes it as "tRNA-Leu". It matches the Rfam family "tRNA". From Rfam's summary of the family: Transfer RNA (tRNA) molecules are approximately 80 nucleotides in length. Their secondary structure includes four short double-helical elements and three loops (D, anti-codon, and T loops). Further hydrogen bonds mediate the characteristic L-shaped molecular structure. tRNAs have two regions of fundamental functional importance: the anti-codon, which is responsible for specific mRNA codon recognition, and the 3' end, to which the tRNAs corresponding amino acid is attached (by aminoacyl-tRNA synthetases). tRNAs cope with the degeneracy of the genetic code in two manners: having more than one tRNA (with a specific anti-codon) for a particular amino acid; and 'wobble' base-pairing, i.e. permitting non-standard base-pairing at the 3rd anti-codon position. The record is from RNAcentral.
GCGCGGGUGGUGGAAUGGCAGACACGCGAGCCUUAGGAGCUCGUGCCGCAAGGCGUAGAGGUUCAAGUCCUCUCCCGCGCA